GACGAACGCUGGCGGCGUGCUUAACACAUGCAAGUCGAACGGAAAGGCCCUGCUUUUGUGGGGUGCUCGAGUGGCGAACGGGUGAGUAACACGUGAGUAACCUGCCCUUGACUUUGGGAUAACUUCAGGAAACUGGGGCUAAUACCGGAUAGGAGCUCCUGCUGCAUGGUGGGGGUUGGAAAGUUUCGGCGGUUGGGGAUGGACUCGCGGCUUAUCAGCUUGUUGGUGGGGUAGUGGCUUACCAAGGCUUUGACGGGUAGCCGGCCUGAGAGGGUGACCGGCCACAUUGGGACUGAGAUACGGCCCAGACUCCUACGGGAGGCAGCAGUGGGGAAUAUUGCACAAUGGGCGGAAGCCUGAUGCAGCAACGCCGCGUGCGGGAUGACGGCCUUCGGGUUGUAAACCGCUUUCGCCUGUGACGAAGCGUGAGUGACGGUAAUGGGUAAAGAAGCACCGGCUAACUACGUGCCAGCAGCCGCGGUGAUACGUAGGGUGCGAGCGUUGUCCGGAUUUAUUGGGCGUAAAGGGCUCGUAGGUGGUUGAUCGCGUCGGAAGUGUAAUCUUGGGGCUUAACCCUGAGCGUGCUUUCGAUACGGGUUGACUUGAGGAAGGUAGGGGAGAAUGGAAUUCCUGGUGGAGCGGUGGAAUGCGCAGAUAUCAGGAGGAACACCAGUGGCGAAGGCGGUUCUCUGGGCCUUUCCUGACGCUGAGGAGCGAAAGCGUGGGGAGCGAACAGGCUUAGAUACCCUGGUAGUCCACGCUGUAAACGGUGGGUACUAGGUGUGGGGUCCAUUCCACGGGUUCCGUGCCGUAGCUAACGCUUUAAGUACCCCGCCUGGGGAGUACGGCCGCAAGGCUAAAACUCAAAGGAAUUGACGGGGCCCCGCACAAGCGGCGGAGCAUGCGGAUUAAUUCGAUGCAACGCGUAGAACCUUACCUGGGUUUGACAUGGAUCGGGAGUGCUCAGAGAUGGGUGUGCCUCUUUUGGGGUCGGUUCACAGGUGGUGCAUGCCUGUCGUCAGCUCGUGUCGUGAGAUGUUGGGUUAAGUCCCGCAACGAGCGCAACCCUUGUUCACUGUUGCCAGCACGUCAUGGUGGGGACUCAGUGGAGACCGCCGGGGUCAACUCGGAGGAAGGUGGGGAUGACGCCAAGUCAUCAUGCCCCUUAUGUCCAGGGCUUCACGCAUGCUACAAUGGCUGGUACAGAGAGUGGCGAGCCUGUGAGGGUGAGCGAAUCUCGGAAAGCCGGUCUCAGUUCGGAUUGGGGUCUGCAACUCGACCUCAUGAAGUCGGAGUCGCUAGUAAUCGCAGAUCAGCAACGCUGCGGUGAAUAAGUUCCCGGGGCU
RNAcentral lists this ribosomal RNA (1346 nucleotides) under uncultured bacterium. RNAcentral describes it as "partial 16S ribosomal RNA". It matches the Rfam family "Bacterial small subunit ribosomal RNA", at positions 28 to 1381 of the family's 1533-position model. The record is from RNAcentral.